RNAcentral lists this ribosomal RNA (1261 nucleotides) under Microbacterium sp. MS12. RNAcentral describes it as "bacterial SSU rRNA". It matches the Rfam family "Bacterial small subunit ribosomal RNA", at positions 118 to 1391 of the family's 1533-position model. The record is from RNAcentral. Lineage: Bacteria; Bacillati; Actinomycetota; Actinomycetes; Micrococcales; Microbacteriaceae.
UGAGCAACCUGCCCCGGACUCUGGGAUAAGCGCUGGAAACGGCGUCUAAUACUGGAUACGAGUAGCGACCGCAUGGUCAGCUAUUGGAAAGAAUUUCGGUCUGGGAUGGGCUCGCGGCCUAUCAGCUUGUUGGUGAGGUAAUGGCUCACCAAGGCGUCGACGGGUAGCCGGCCUGAGAGGGUGACCGGCCACACUGGGACUGAGACACGGCCCAGACUCCUACGGGAGGCAGCAGUGGGGAAUAUUGCACAAUGGGCGCAAGCCUGAUGCAGCAACGCCGCGUGAGGGAUGACGGCCUUCGGGUUGUAAACCUCUUUUAGUAGGGAAGAAGCGAAAGUGACGGUACCUGCAGAAAAAGCGCCGGCUAACUACGUGCCAGCAGCCGCGGUAAUACGUAGGGCGCAAGCGUUAUCCGGAAUUAUUGGGCGUAAAGAGCUCGUAGGCGGUUUGUCGCGUCUGCUGUGAAAUCUGGGGGCUCAACCCCCAGCCUGCAGUGGGUACGGGCAGACUAGAGUGCGGUAGGGGAGAUUGGAAUUCCUGGUGUAGCGGUGGAAUGCGCAGAUAUCAGGAGGAACACCGAUGGCGAAGGCAGAUCUCUGGGCCGUAACUGACGCUGAGGAGCGAAAGGGUGGGGAGCAAACAGGCUUAGAUACCCUGGUAGUCCACCCCGUAAACGUUGGGAACUAGUUGUGGGGUCCAUUCCACGGAUUCCGUGACGCAGCUAACGCAUUAAGUUCCCCGCCUGGGGAGUACGGCCGCAAGGCUAAAACUCAAAGGAAUUGACGGGGACCCGCACAAGCGGCGGAGCAUGCGGAUUAAUUCGAUGCAACGCGAAGAACCUUACCAAGGCUUGACAUAUACGAGAACGGGCCAGAAAUGGUCAACUCUUUGGACACUCGUAAACAGGUGGUGCAUGGUUGUCGUCAGCUCGUGUCGUGAGAUGUUGGGUUAAGUCCCGCAACGAGCGCAACCCUCGUUCUAUGUUGCCAGCACGUAAUGGUGGGAACUCAUGGGAUACUGCCGGGGUCAACUCGGAGGAAGGUGGGGAUGACGUCAAAUCAUCAUGCCCCUUAUGUCUUGGGCUUCACGCAUGCUACAAUGGCCGGUACAAAGGGCUGCAAUACCGCGAGGUGGAGCGAAUCCCAAAAAGCCGGUCCCAGUUCGGAUUGAGGUCUGCAACUCGACCUCAUGAAGUCGGAGUCGCUAGUAAUCGCAGAUCAGCAACGCUGCGGUGAAUACGUUCCCGGGUCUUGUACACACC